Molecule: unclassified non-coding RNA, 329 nt
Filed under: soil metagenome
Description: partial contains 5.8S ribosomal RNA, internal transcribed spacer 2, and large subunit ribosomal RNA
Rfam family: 5.8S ribosomal RNA (bases 1-120)
Source: RNAcentral
GAUGAAGAACGUAGCGAAAUGCGAUAAGUAGUGUGAAUUGCAGAAUUCAGUGAAUCAUCGAAUCUUUGAACGCACAUUGCGCCCCUUGGUAUCCCGAGGGGCAUGCCUGUUCGAGCGUCAUUUCACCACUCAAGCCUGGCUUGGUGUUGGGCGACGUCCUCUUUGGGGACGCGCCUCGAAACGCUCGGCGGCGUGGCACCGGCUUUAAGCGUAGCAGAAUCUUUCGCUUUGGAAGUCGGGGCCCCGUCUGCCGGAAGACCUGCUCGCAAGGUUGACCUCGGAUCAGGCAGGGAUACCCGCUGAACAUAAGCAUAUCAAUAAGCGGAGGA